CGGCGAGUGAAGCGGGAAGAGCUCAAAUUUGAAAUCUUCAAGGUUCUACCUUGACGAAUUGUAGUUUAAAGAAGUGUUUUCUGUUAGAUGAGUAGCAAAAGUUCCUUGGAAUGGGACAUCAUAGAGGGUGAGAAUCCCGUAUUUGGUUAUUCAUUCUAGCUUUGUGAUACACUUUCAAAGAGUCGGAUUGUUUGGGAAUGCAGUCCAAAAUGGGUGGUAAAUUUCAUCUAAAGCUAAAUAUUGGCGAGAGACCGAUAGCGAACAAGUACCGUGAGGGAAAGAUGAAAAGAACUUUGAAAAGAGAGUUAAACAGUACGUGAAAUUGUCAAAAGGGAAGCGUUUGACACCAGUGUUGUUUUUCCGAAAAUCAAUUACGAAUGGCUUGAUUUUGUGUUGUAUUGACCUUAUCAGCUUUCUUCACUUUUUUCGAGUCUUUCUUAAUGCACUUUUCGGUUAACAAGUCAACAUCAAUUUCUUUUGUUGUAAAAGAGUAUUCGGAAGGUGGCUUUCUUUUCGGAGAAAGUGUUUAUAGCCCUAUACUUCUACAAUCGGAGAGAUUGAGGUCUGCAGCGUAGAUCCUUCGGGGUUAGAUACACUUGUGCUAAGUUGUAGCUUUUCAUAGACAACUUGUUGACUAUGUUUAGUCAUGCGGCUUACUCGCUUGUGCUAUUUUACCUACGCUUAGGAUGUUGACAAAAUGGUUUUAAACGACCCGUCU
This 718-nucleotide ribosomal RNA is filed under the name Neocallimastix frontalis. Its description in RNAcentral is "partial large subunit ribosomal RNA". It matches the Rfam family "Eukaryotic large subunit ribosomal RNA", at positions 87 to 654 of the family's 3401-position model. Lineage: Eukaryota; Fungi; Neocallimastigomycota; Neocallimastigomycetes; Neocallimastigales; Neocallimastigaceae. The record is from RNAcentral.